UACAGAGGUCCCGAGCGUUGUUCGGAUUCAUUGGGCGUAAAGGGUGCGUAGGCGGUUUGCUAAGUUUGAUGUGAAAUCCCGGGGCUCAACCCUGGAAUUGCAUUGAAUACUGGCGGACUAGAGUACCGGAGAGGAAACUGGAAUUUACGGUGUAGCAGUGAAAUGCGUAGAGAUCGUAAGGAAGACCAGUGGCGAAGGCGAGUUUCUGGACGGUAACUGACGCUGAGGCACGAAGGCCAGGGGAGCAAACGGG
Molecule: ribosomal RNA, 253 nt
Filed under: uncultured bacterium
Lineage: Bacteria
Description: partial 16S ribosomal RNA
Rfam family: Bacterial small subunit ribosomal RNA
Source: RNAcentral